GGUAAAGUGGCCGAGUAGGUGGCGGGUUGUAGCCCUGAAGACGGAGGUUCGAGCCCUCCCUUUACCA
Molecule: transfer RNA, 67 nt
Filed under: Nanorana parkeri
Lineage: Eukaryota; Metazoa; Chordata; Amphibia; Anura; Dicroglossidae
Description: tRNA-Tyr
Rfam family: tRNA
About the family: Transfer RNA (tRNA) molecules are approximately 80 nucleotides in length. Their secondary structure includes four short double-helical elements and three loops (D, anti-codon, and T loops).
Source: RNAcentral